RNAcentral lists this ribosomal RNA (531 nucleotides) under uncultured bacterium. RNAcentral describes it as "bacterial SSU rRNA". It matches the Rfam family "Bacterial small subunit ribosomal RNA", at positions 979 to 1509 of the family's 1533-position model. The record is from RNAcentral.
CCUUGACAUACUAAGAACUUUCCAGAGAUGGAUUGGUGCCUUCGGGAACUUAGAUACAGGUGCUGCAUGGCUGUCGUCAGCUCGUGUCGUGAGAUGUUGGGUUAAGUCCCCGNAACGAGCGCAACCUUUUCCUAUUUGCCAGCGGGUCAUGCCGGGAACUUUAAGGAUACUGCCAGUGACAAACUGGAGGAAGGCGGGGACGACGUCAAGUCAUCAUGGCCCUUACGGCCAGGGCUACACACGUGCUACAAUGGUCGGUACAAAGGGUUGCUACCUCGCGAGAGGAUGCUAAUCUCAAAAAAGCCGAUCGUAGUCCGGAUCGCAGUCUGCAACUCGACUGCGUGAAGUCGGAAUCGCUAGUAAUCGCGGAUCAGAAUGCCGCGGUGAAUACGUUCCCGGGCCUUGUACACACCGCCCGUCACACCAUGGGAGUUUGUUGCACCAGAAGUAGGUAGUCUAACCGCAAGGAGGACGCUUACCACGGUGUGGCCGAUGACUGGGGUGAAGUCGUAACAAGGUAGGCGUAGAUGA